UACGAAGGGGGCUAGCGUUGUUCGGAAUUACUGGGCGUAAAGGGCGCGUAGGCGGCGUAUCAAGUUAGGCGUGAAAGCCCCGGGCUCAACCUGGGAAUUGCGCUUGAUACUGGUAUGCUUGAGUUCGGGAGAGGAGAGUGGAAUUCCCAGUGUAGAGGUGAAAUUCGUAGAUAUUGGGAAGAACACCGGUGGCGAAGGCGGCUCUCUGGACCGAUACUGACGCUGAGGCGCGAAAGCGUGGGGAGCAAACAGG
Molecule: ribosomal RNA, 253 nt
Filed under: uncultured bacterium
Lineage: Bacteria
Description: partial 16S ribosomal RNA
Rfam family: Bacterial small subunit ribosomal RNA
Source: RNAcentral